This is a non-coding RNA of Pelobates cultripes (western spadefoot toad), 212 nucleotides long. Lineage: Eukaryota; Metazoa; Chordata; Amphibia; Anura; Pelobatidae. The record is from the annotation of a GenBank genome assembly.
AUGGACUGGCUGAAUGCGCACGCGGCUCCUGCCGCACAUGCAGCCGAGGAGGAGGAGAGUCCCCCACCCGGAGCUGCAGAAAGAGGUAAGUUUAACCCCUUCCACCCCCUAGUGCCUGGCAGGAGGGGAUCUCUGAGGGUGGGGGCACCCUCAGGGCACUAAAGUGCCAGGAAAACGAGUAUGUUUUCAUGGCACUAUAGUGGUCCUUUAAG